This 253-nucleotide ribosomal RNA is filed under the name uncultured bacterium. Its description in RNAcentral is "partial 16S ribosomal RNA". It matches the Rfam family "Bacterial small subunit ribosomal RNA", at positions 524 to 776 of the family's 1533-position model. The record is from RNAcentral.
UACGGAGGGAGCUAGCGUUGUUCGGAAUUACUGGGCGUAAAGCGCACGUAGGCGGCUACUCAAGUCGGGGGUGAAAGCCCGGGGCUCAACCCCGGAACUGCCCUCGAAACUAGGUAGCUAGAAUCUUGGAGAGGUCAGUGGAAUUCCGAGUGUAGAGGUGAAAUUCGUAGAUAUUCGGAAGAACACCAGUGGCGAAGGCGGCUCACUGGCCCGUUACCGACGCUCAGGCGCGACAGCGUGGGGAGCAAACAGG